Molecule: ribosomal RNA, 257 nt
Filed under: uncultured bacterium
Lineage: Bacteria
Description: partial 16S ribosomal RNA
Rfam family: Bacterial small subunit ribosomal RNA
Source: RNAcentral
UACGUAGGGUGCGAGCGUUGUCCGGAAUUAUUGGGCGUAAAGAGCUCGUAGGCGGUGUGUCACGUCGGCCGUGAAAACCUGCAGCUUAACUGUGGGCGUGCGGUCGAUACGGGCAUCACUGGAGUUCGGCAGGGGAGACUGGAAUUCCUGGUGUAGCGGUGAAAUGCGCAGAUAUCAGGAGGAACACCGGGUGGCGAAGGCGGGUCUCUGGGACGGUACUGACGACUGGAGACGCGAAAGCGUGGGGAGCGAACAGG